Molecule: ribosomal RNA, 407 nt
Filed under: uncultured bacterium
Lineage: Bacteria
Description: partial 16S ribosomal RNA
Rfam family: Bacterial small subunit ribosomal RNA
Source: RNAcentral
AUUGAACGCUGGCGGCAGGCCUAACACAUGCAAGUCGAGCGGAGCGGCGGACGGGUGAGUAAUGCCUAGGAAUCUGCCUGGUAGUGGGGGAUAACGUCCGGAAACGGGCGCUAAUACCGCAUACUAUCAGAUGAGCCUAGGUCGGAUUAGCUAGUUGGUGGGGUAAGGGCCUACCAAGGCGACGAUCCGUAACUGGUCUGAGAGGAUGAUCAGUCACACUGGAAAUGAGACACGGUCCAGACUCGUACGGGAGGCAGCAGUGGGGAAUAUUGGACAAUGGGCGAAAGCCUGAUCCAGCCAUGCCGGGUGGGGGAUGAAGGCUUUCGGGUUGUAAACCUCUUUCGCUAUCGAACGGGUAGGUGGAGAAGAAGCGCCGGCUAACUACGUGCCAGCCGCCGCGGUAAUAC